Molecule: ribosomal RNA, 545 nt
Filed under: uncultured bacterium
Lineage: Bacteria
Description: bacterial SSU rRNA
Rfam family: Bacterial small subunit ribosomal RNA
Source: RNAcentral
UCGGGAAUUUUGGGCAAUGGGCGAAAGCCUGACCCAGCAACGCCGCGUGAAGGAUGAAGUCUUUCGGGAUGUAAACUUCGUAAGAAUAGGAAGAAUAAAUGACGGUACUAUUUGUAAGGUCCGGCUAACUACGUGCCAGCAGCCGCGGUAAUACGUAGGGACCAAGCGUUGUUCGGAUUUACUGGGCGUAAAGGGCGCGUAGGCGGCGUGUCAAGUCAAUUGUGAAAUCUCCGAGCUUAACUCGGAACGGUCAAUUGAUACUGAUGUGCUAGAGUGCAGAAGGGGCAAUCGGAAUUCUUGGUGUAGCGGUGAAAUGCGUAGAUAUCAAGAGGAACACCUGAGGUGAAGACGGGUUGCUGGGCUGACACUGACGCUGAGGCGCGAAAGCUAGGGUAGCAAACGGGAUUAGAUACCCCGGUAGUCCUAGCCCUAAACGAUGAAUACUUGGUGUCUGGAGUUUUAAUUCUCCGGGUGCCGUCGCUAACGUUUUUAGUAUUCCGCCUGGGGAGUACGCACGCAAGUGUGAAACUCAAAGGAAUUGACGG